RNAcentral lists this ribosomal RNA (257 nucleotides) under uncultured bacterium. Its description in RNAcentral is "partial 16S ribosomal RNA". It matches the Rfam family "Bacterial small subunit ribosomal RNA", at positions 524 to 776 of the family's 1533-position model. The record is from RNAcentral.
UACGAAGGGUGCAAACGUUUGCCUCGGAAUUAUUGGGCGUAAAGCGCACGUAGGCGGCUUUGUAAGUCGGAUGUGAAAUCCCUCGGCUUAACCAAGGAAGUGCAUCCGAAACUACAGAGCUUGAGUACUUAAGAGGAUCGCGGAAUUCCCGGUGUAGAGGUGAAAUUCGUAGAUAUCGGGAGGAACACCAGUGGCGAAGGCGGCGAUCUGGGAAGAUACUGACGCGUGAGGUGCGAAAGCGGUGGGGAGCAAACAGG